UUUAACUGAGCGUUCAGUUACUUGACGUAGACCCGAAACCGGGCGACCUACCCAUGAGCAGGAUGAAGCGAAAGUAAAAUUUCGUGGAGGUCCGAACCCACGAGCGUUGAAAAGCUCGGGGAUGACUUGUGGGUAGCGGUGAAAUUCCAAUCGAGCCCGGAGAUAGCUGGUUCUCCCCGAAAUAGCUUUAGGGCUAGCCUCAAGGUGAGAGAUACGGAGGUAGAGCACUGAAUGUCCUAGGGGGUAUUGCACCUACCGAAGACUAUCAAACUCCGAAUGCCGUCAUCUUAUACUUGGGAGUCAGACUGUGGGUGAUAAGAUUCAUAGUCGAAAGGGCAACAGCCCAGAUCGUCAGCUAAGGUCCCUAAAUGUAAGUUAAGUGGUAAAGGAUGUGGGAUUGCACAGACAACCAGGAUGUUGGCUUAGAAGCAGCCACUCAUUCAAAGAGUGCGUAAUAGCUCACUGGUCGAGUGAUCCUGCGCCGAAGAUUUCCGGGGCUAAAACUUACUACCGAAGCUACGGCAUCAGUAAUGAUGGGUAGGGGAGCUUCCCAUACGGGUUGAAGCAUGACCGUAAGGACAUGUGGACAGUAUGGGAGUGAGAAUGUUGGCAUGAGUAGCGAGAUGUGGGUGAGAAUCCCACAGGCCGUAAACCCAAGGUUUCCAGGGGAAGGUUCGUCCGCCCUGGGUUAGUCGGGACCUAAGCUGAGG
Molecule: ribosomal RNA, 710 nt
Filed under: Clostridioides difficile
Lineage: Bacteria; Bacillati; Bacillota; Clostridia; Peptostreptococcales; Peptostreptococcaceae
Description: partial 23S ribosomal RNA
Rfam family: Bacterial large subunit ribosomal RNA
Source: RNAcentral